GUGCUACUGCCUCCGUUCGGAAUUACUUGUCGCAUAAAUGGAUGUAUCUAGACGUAAACUCUAGAUACAUCCAUUUAUGCGACAAGUAAUUCCGAACGGAGGGAGUAGUCA
Non-coding RNA from Triticum aestivum (bread wheat), 111 nucleotides. The record is from Rfam. Lineage: Eukaryota; Viridiplantae; Streptophyta; Magnoliopsida; Poales; Poaceae.